RNAcentral lists this ribosomal RNA (440 nucleotides) under uncultured bacterium. Its description in RNAcentral is "bacterial SSU rRNA". It matches the Rfam family "Bacterial small subunit ribosomal RNA", at positions 343 to 797 of the family's 1533-position model. The record is from RNAcentral.
CGGAGGCAGCAGUGGGGAAUAUUGCGCAAUGGAGGAAACUCUGACGCAGCAACGCCGCGUGAAGGAUGAAGGUUUUCGGAUUGUAAACUUCUUUGAUGAGGGACGAAACAAAUGACGGUACCUCAAAAACAAGCCACGGCUAACUACGUGCCAGCAGCCGCGGUAAUACGUAGGUGGCGAGCGUUGUCCGGAAUUACUGGGUGUAAAGGGCGUGUAGGCGGGGAUGUAAGUCAGAUGUGAAAUACCGAGGCUUAACUUCGGAGCUGCAUCUGAAACUACGUUUCUUGAGUGUCGGAGAGGAAAGCGGAAUUCCCAGUGUAGCGGUGAAAUGCGUAGAUAUUGGGAGGAACACCAGUGGCGAAGGCGGCUUUCUGGACGAUAACUGACGCUGAGGCGCGAAAGCGUGGGGAGCAAACAGGAUUAGAAACCCCGGUAGUCCC